Long non-coding RNA from Canis lupus familiaris (dog), 2703 nucleotides. RefSeq lists it as uncharacterized. The transcript has 4 exons. The record is from RefSeq and is a predicted model, not a curated record. NCBI's taxonomy places the organism in Eukaryota, Metazoa, Chordata, Mammalia, Carnivora, Canidae.
UGUGGCUAAAUUAAAAUUAGAAAUAACUUAAAAGGAAAAUUCAACUCUUAAGUCGUACUAGCCACAUUUCAAGAGUUCAGUAGUCGCAGGUGACCAGUGGCUACUGUAUUGGACAGCACAAAGAAACAUUUCUAUCAUUGCAGGAAGUUCCACUGGACAGUACUGUGGCAUCUGGGGCAGCUACAGGAACAGUAUGAGGCCACUGACAAAGGUGGCAAUUAACCAAGAGCAAAUUAGUGGGAGGCAACGAAGGCUCAGAUGUACUGCAUCUCCCUGCCUACGAUGGAGGGAGCUAUGGAUCCUCUAGGACCACACAGCUGUCUUGGACAGGAUCUGAAGCUAAUGGACCAAGGCAGAUGAUGCCUUUGUCACCACUUCCCUCUGGAUUGGAUGGACCCCUGACUGUUGCACGGACAGAACUGUGGACCACCUGGUACCCAUCUUCACAUCCAAACUAUGGACAACCCUGAAGUGGACACAGCAUUAUGGCAACGCGUGUCCCAGUACAGCUGCAGAGAAAGCUACCACAAACAGCCUGCUAGAGUGGAGAUGGCCAACACUUGCUUGAAGACCAGCUAAGCCAAAAGUGAAAUGUGAUCUUCACCAUGAAUAAAUGCACGCCUUGCUUCCUGCUGAACUAUGGCCAGGAUCUUCCCAAAGACACCCACUCUGCCCCUGUCCCCAUCAGGACUAACAGAAGCAUCCCUUUAGGAGAGUUGAGUCCCUCUGGCUUUGAGGUGGCUGCCACUUGCCAGGCUCCUGCUGAGGUCCUGGCCUGGGGCCAGAUGCCUGGCUCUCUGGCCAUGAGUUGUAUCCACUGGAUACCAGGUAUUGCCUUUGUUCCUCAGAUGGCAAGAACCUGAUUGUCUAGAGACCAGUUAUGAGGAGAUUCGUGUCUAGUGAUUCCUGAUGUCUCGUGAUGUGUCUCCAGUGAAGGAGAGAAUAAAGAAGGUGGGAGAGAUGCCAGUCCCUUGCUUCACUUGGCACUGAACAUGUGACAUCUGCUGAUCUUUAGCUAAAACCCACUAGCUGAUGGUUCACUGCCAGGUGAGAUCACCUCUCAAGUCUCCUUCUAUCUUUUCUUUAGGUCUAUGAAAUUUUAGGCUUUGGGGUGUAGAGGAGGGGAAACGUGUAAUGAUCCUGUCCCAGAUGUAUGGAACCUAAGUCUCUGAGGAUAGAGCUCAAUCCCCUCCCUGAUUCCUGUGUACUUCUCUGCUGGAAAACUAAGGAUUUAUGGAAAUCAUGUGACCCUGAGGGGAUGAAGCCAGAUGGUCAUUUAGUGUAAGCUUAGCAGGUUUUGUCCAAAGGCAGACAAAAACUGGCAUUUCUCUGUCCUGAUUCUAGUUUUCUGAGAACUGCCUGAGGAAUAGUUGGGUCCAGAUGAAAACAGUCUUAUUUUACUAGCUAAAUUUGGACUCCAUGCUGCAUAGUUUCCCAGCCUUCCUUCUGCAGGAUCAAAUCUCUCUGAAGGAGAUGGGUGCCCCCACCUAGGUGGGGGUUCCUUGAAUAUCUGGGUUGAGGUGUGCCCAGGUCUGAGCAGCAGAGCAGACUGGCCAUGAGAAGGAACACACUAGCCUCAGUGCGAGGGAAAGUGGGAGCCACAGUAGGUCAUUAACACAGGCUGAAGAGAGGUUCCUGGUGGGCUGAUGAACAGGCUGCCAUCGAUGAAUGGAAACAACUCCCAUGGGUCCCAUCCCUCAUUAAGAGCCUGGGGGUUUGGCAGGGGAGCCCAGGUACCAUCUCCAGCACGCACCUCACUGGAAGCUGUUUGGCAGCCUGUGGCCUACGUGAAAACACAUGGCUGAGCUCUUUCCCUGCAGGCUCCUUCCUGAGAACAGCCUUUCUGGCAGUCAGCAGGCAGCUGCUGGACAGACCUUAGGCCAAUGAGGUAGGGGGACUUGGGAUUCACAUAGUGUGAGCCUCGCUCCGAGAAAGCUCUUCCUGGGGCAGGGCCAGCCAGGCAUCUAAAACUGUGAGAACAAUCCAGCAAAGCCCUCCUCAGUAGAUUUCAUGGGAGAGGAGCCUGCAAGGGCCGAGGGCCACACAUUUGCUGCUCUUUAACAUAAGGAAUUUUGUUAUCCCAUAUGCUGUUGGUGGGGCUGACAGAUAAUGAGGAUUAAACAUCUGUGAGGUGCUGUGUUACUCUACCAGACAAAUCACAGAGGCCUGUGCUGUUAAUCCUGUACCCUGUCAGCUGAUAAGGGUGGGCACUCAUUGGCUUCUAAGGCUGCAGAACAUCUGUUGCCAUUGUUUGACUUGUCUCCCCUAGACUUGCUGCAGAAGAGCUUUGAAAUAGUUAUUUGCAAAAGCAGGUGGAGUGCUUUGAAGAAAAGCCCUGUAUAAACAGCAUGAACACAACAGCAGCAUGUUCCACUUUGAGGCUAAUCCUACCCUAUCCCUGCCUAGGCUCCGUCAUGCCAGUAGGCCUGCUGCCUUCCUGAAAGGAAGGCCCUUUGAGGCAAAGGGGAGGAGAACACCUGACAUGGCAUUUGGUUAGAAGAUGAGCCCCCAUCUGACUGUGUGACCUUAGCUAAGUCACUCAAGUGUUUUCCUUAUUUUGUCAUCUGGGAAAUGUGCUUGGUGCCUGGUGUUGUGUGAGGAUUAACUACAUGCUGCUUAAGAAAUGUACUGGCUGGGGGCACCCAGGUGGUUCAGUGUUUGAGCACCUGCCUUUGGCCCAGGGCGUGAUCCUGGGGUCCCAAG